This 301-nucleotide ribosomal RNA is filed under the name uncultured bacterium. Its description in RNAcentral is "partial 16S ribosomal RNA". It matches the Rfam family "Bacterial small subunit ribosomal RNA", at positions 509 to 807 of the family's 1533-position model. The record is from RNAcentral.
CAGUAGCCGCGGGAAUACGAAGGGGGCUAGCGUUGUUCGGAAUCACUGGGCGUAAAGCGCACGUAGGCGGACACUUAAGUCAGAGGUGAAAUCCCAAGGCUCAACCUUGGAACUGCCUUUGAUACUGGGUGUCUUGAGUUCGGGAGAGGUGAGUGGAACUGCGAGUGUAGAGGUGAAAUUCGUAGAUAUUCGGAAGAACACCAGUGGCGAAGGCGACUCACUGGACGCGUAUUGACGCUGAGGUGCGAAAGCGUGGGGAGCAAACAGGAUUAGAUACCCGGGUAGUCCCUGUCUCUUAUAC